Molecule: unclassified non-coding RNA, 372 nt
Filed under: soil metagenome
Description: partial contains 5.8S ribosomal RNA, internal transcribed spacer 2, and large subunit ribosomal RNA
Rfam family: 5.8S ribosomal RNA (bases 1-120)
Source: RNAcentral
GAUGAAGAACGUAGCAAAAUGCGAUAAGUAAUGUGAAUUGCAGAAUUCAGUGAAUCAUCGAAUCUUUGAACGCACAUUGCGCCCGCCAGUAUUCUGGCGGGCAUGCCUGUUCGAGCGUCAUUAUCAACCCUCAAGCCCCUUUGGCUUGGUGUUGGAGACUGGCGGGGCGCAUGCGCCCGGAGCCACUCCCAAAUACAAUGACGGCGGCGACGAUGACCCCCGGUACACUGAGCUUCUCACCGAGCACGUGCUGGAAGGGUCUUGUGGCCACGGUCUGCCUCCCCUCUGGGAGAAACGGAUUUCAUCCACCAAGGUUGACCUCGGAUCAGGUAGGGAUACCCGCUGAACUUAAGCAUAUCAAUAGACGGAGUA